AUAAUGGGUCAGCGACUUAUAUUCUGUAGCAAGGUUAACCGAAUAGGGGAGCCGAAGGGAAACCGAGUCUUAACUGGGCGUUAAGUUGCAGGGUAUAGACCCGAAACCCGGUGAUCUAGCCAUGGGCAGGUUGAAGGUUGGGUAACACUAACUGGAGGACCGAACCGACUAAUGUUGAAAAAUUAGCGGAUGACUUGUGGCUGGGGGUGAAAGGCCAAUCAAACCGGGAGAUAGCUGGUUCUCCCCGAAAGCUAUUUAGGUAGCGCCUCGUGAAUUCAUCUCCGGGGGUAGAGCACUGUUUCGGCAAGGGGGUCAUCCCGACUUACCAACCCGAUGCAAACUGCGAAUACCGGAGAAUGUUAUCACGGGAGACACACGGCGGGUGCUAACGUCCGUCGUGAAGAGGGAAACAACCCAGACCGCCAGCUAAGGUCCCAAAGUCAUGGUUAAGUGGGAAACGAUGUGGGAAGGCCCAGACAGCCAGGAUGUUGGCUUAGAAGCAGCCAUCAUUUAAAGAAAGCGUAAUAGCUCACUGGUCGAGUCGGCCUGCGCGGAAGAUGUAACGGGGCUAAACCAUGCACCGAAGCUGCGGCAGCGACGCUGAUGCGUUGUUGGGUAGGGGAGCGUUCUGUAAGCCUGUGAAGGUGUGCUGUGAGGCAUGCUGGAGGUAUCAGAAGUGCGAAUGCUGACAUAAGUAACGAUAAAGCGGGUGAAAAGCCCGCUCGCCGGAAGACCAAGGGUUCCUGUCCAACGUUAAUCGGGGCAGGGUGAGUCGACCCCUAAGGCGAGGCCGAAAGGCGUAGUCGAUGGGAAACAGGUUAAUAUUCCUGUACUUGGUGUUACUGCGAAGGGGGGACGGAGAAGGCUAUGUUGGCCGGGCGACGGUUGUCCCGGUUUAAGCGUGUAGGCUGGUUUUCCAGGCAAAUCCGGAAAAUCAAGGCUGAGGCGUGAUGACGAGGCACUACGGUGCUGAAGCAACAAAUGCCCUGCUUCCAGGAAAAGCCUCUAAGCAUCAGGUAACAUCAAAUCGUACCCCAAACCGACACAGGUGGUCAGGUAGAGAAUACCAAGGCGCUUGAGAGAACUCGGGUGAAGGAACUAGGCAAAAUGGUGCCGUAACUUCGGGAGAAGGCACGCUGAUAUGUAGGUGAAGUCCCUCGCGGAUGGAGCUGAAAUCAGUCGAAGAUACCAGCUGGCUGCAACUGUUUAUUAAAAACACAGCACUGUGCAAACACGAAAGUGGACGUAUACGGUGUGACGCCUGCCCGGUGCCGGAAGGUUAAUUGAUGGGGUCAGCGCAAGCGAAGCUCUUGAUCGAAGCCCCGGUAAACGGCGGCCGUAACUAUAACGGUCCUAAGGUAGCGAAAUUCCUUGUCGGGUAAGUUCCGACCUGCACGAAUGGCGUAAUGAUGGCCAGGCUGUCUCCACCCGAGACUCAGUGAAAUUGAACUCGCUGUGAAGAUGCAGUGUACCCGCGGCAAGACGGAAAGACCCCGUGAACCUUUACUAUAGCUUGACACUGAACAUUGAGCCUUGAUGUGUAGGAUAGGUGGGAGGCUUUGAAGUGUGGACGCCAGUCUGCAUGGAGCCGGCCUUGAAAUACCACCCUUUAAUGUUUGAUGUUCUAACGUUGACCCGUGAUCCGGGUUGCGGACAGUGUCUGGUGGGUAGUUUGACUGGGGCGGUCUCCUCCUAAAGAGUAACGGAGGAGCACGAAGGUUGGCUAAUCCUGGUCGGACAUCAGGAGGUUAGUGCAAUGGCAUAAGCCAGCUUGACUGCGAGCGUGACGGCGCGAGCAGGUGCGAAAGCAGGUCAUAGUGAUCCGGUGGUUCUGAAUGGAAGGGCCAUCGCUCAACGGAUAAAAGGUACU
This 1870-nucleotide ribosomal RNA is filed under the name Escherichia coli. RNAcentral's name for it is "partial 23S ribosomal RNA". It matches the Rfam family "Bacterial large subunit ribosomal RNA", at positions 612 to 2467 of the family's 2925-position model. The record is from RNAcentral. Lineage: Bacteria; Pseudomonadati; Pseudomonadota; Gammaproteobacteria; Enterobacterales; Enterobacteriaceae.